AUUUUGACCGUGCAAAGGUAGCAUAAUCAUUUGCCCUAUAAUUAAGGGCUAGUAUGAAUGGUUCGACGUAAGCAAAACUGUCUCUGUAAUGAUUUUCUAGAAUUUGAUUUUUAGGUGAAGAAACCUAAAUUUUAUUAAAAGACAAGAAGACCCUAUUGAGCUUAAAAAAAAUAAAUGGAGUAGUUACUAUUUUAUCAAAGGUUUAUCUGUUUAAUAUUUUGGUUGGGGCGACUAAGGAACAAAUAAAGCUUCUUGACUUACUAAAGUUCCUACAGAUUUUGAUCCAAUUAUUUUGAUUAAAGAAAUUAGUUACCAUAGGGAUAACAGCAUAAUUCUUUUUGAGAGUUCUUAUCGAAAAGAGAGUUUGUGACCUCGAUGUUGGACUAGAAUAUCCUAAAGAUGCAG
This 405-nucleotide ribosomal RNA is filed under the name Simnia patula. Its description in RNAcentral is "Xandarovula patula partial 16S ribosomal RNA". It matches the Rfam family "Bacterial large subunit ribosomal RNA", at positions 1939 to 2558 of the family's 2925-position model. The record is from RNAcentral. Lineage: Eukaryota; Metazoa; Mollusca; Gastropoda; Littorinimorpha; Ovulidae.